CCCUUAGUAACGGCGAGUGAAGAGGGAUGAGCCCAGCACCGAAGCCUGCGGCAGUUUUGCUGUUAGGCAAUGUGGUGUUCGGGUCGGCUAGCGGGACCGUAACUCCACUCGAAGUCCAGCAUUGAGUAUGGUUAUCAUUGGAUUUGGCCCAUAGAGGGUGAGAGGCCCGUACGAGUGGAGGUGCAGACAUGUGAUACGGUUCACUAGGUCGGCCUUAGAGUCGGGUUGUUUGAGAUUGCAGCCCAAAGUGGGUGGUAAACUCCAUCCAAGGCUAAAUACAGGCACGAGUCCGAUAGCGAACAAGUACCGUGAGGGAAAGUUGAAAAGUACUCUGAAGAGAGAGUAAACAGUACGUGAAACCGCAUGCAGGUAAACGGGUGGCGUCAAACCGCGAGCCCGGAGGAUUCAGCUGGUUGGGAUGUAUAUUAUUUGGCCAGAAUAAGAUUUAGUGGUCCGCUCUCUCAUUGUGAGAGUGGAGUGAGGUAUGAGGGUGUGUGUGUGUGUGUGUAUUUGUGGUUGAGUGUUACGCACUUGUGGUGUAGCGCUUGCCAUUGCGCAUACGUAUCUCUACUGAGCUAUAUGUGCCGGGUGGGUGCCGGAGUAUGCCACUAAUCUGUAGGGCCGCCUGAUCAGUGCAAUUUCUCCGUGGUAAACAUCACGACCGAUGGAAUUGCCAGUCCAUUGUAGUCAAGUCGUACUCAUGUGGCUAUUGGAGUUCGCUUCAAUGUGGUUAUGUGAGUGUGAUCGCAGGUGGAACAAGUAAACGGCGUAGCGUUGUUUCGGCAUUGUUACGUGCUAUCGUGUACUUACCAUCAACGAGUUGUUGUGUAGUGGUGUGCCUUGAUUAUGCAGCAACUUGGCGGACUGCAAUGGUAAAAAUGACUGUGCAAGGCAUCGGCAUUAUCCACCUCACACAUAUACGUGCAAACGUGUGUGUGUAUGUAUCCGGCGGGCUUAGCACAUAAGCCUUUAUGGAGACUCAUUGCUGUAUAUAUGCAUUAUGCGUGAUUGUCGUUUUGCCUACAAAAAGUAGGUGCGUCAGUCGUAUAGUGUACAUUUGAUUUAUACGGUAAUUGUAUGUCUCUAAUGCAUGUGAUACAGUGGGUGUAAUAGUCAGUGAUGCUGUGGUAGACGAGCUACCCGACCCGUCUCGAAACACGGACCAAGGAGUUUAACAUGUGUGCGAGUCAAAGGGUUAUACGAAACCCCAAGGCGUAGUGAAAGUAAACAUUGUAUUAUACUUGUUGUAGUACAAUAAGGUGAGAUCUCACUGUGUGUAUAUUUAUUAUAAAGCAGUGGGCGCAUCACCGGCCCGUCCCAUGAUGUGGUCAUUGGCAUUGAUAUGUGUGUACAUGCACUCGUUGUGUGUAUACUAGUAUCAGCUAGUGCGUCAUCGGGGCGGAGCAUGAGCACACACGUUGAGACCCGAAAGAUGGUGAACUAUGCUUGCGUAGGUUGAAGCCAGAGGAAACUCUGGUGGAGGACCGUAGCGAUUCUGACGUGCAAAUCGAUCGUCAAACGUGAGUAUA
Molecule: ribosomal RNA, 1529 nt
Filed under: Skrjabinotaenia sp. EO0
Lineage: Eukaryota; Metazoa; Platyhelminthes; Cestoda; Cyclophyllidea; Catenotaeniidae
Description: partial large subunit ribosomal RNA
Rfam family: Eukaryotic large subunit ribosomal RNA
Source: RNAcentral